Molecule: ribosomal RNA, 257 nt
Filed under: uncultured Anaerococcus sp.
Lineage: Bacteria; Bacillati; Bacillota; Tissierellia; Tissierellales; Peptoniphilaceae
Description: partial 16S ribosomal RNA
Rfam family: Bacterial small subunit ribosomal RNA
Source: RNAcentral
CGGACGGGUGAGUAACGCGUGAGUAACCUGCCUUAGAGAAGGGGAUAGCCUUUGGAAACGAAGAAUAAUACCCUAUAACACCAACACCUCGCAUGAAGAGUUGGUCAAAGAUUUAUCGCUCUAAGAUGGACUUGCGUCUGAUUAGUUAGUUGGUGAGGUAACGGCCCACCAAGACAGCGAUCAGUAGCCGGCUUGAGAGAGUGUACGGCCACAUUGGGACUGAGACACGGCCCAGACUCCUACGGGAGGCAGCAGUA